Non-coding RNA from Mus caroli (Ryukyu mouse), 2041 nucleotides. The record is from RefSeq and is a predicted model, not a curated record. NCBI's taxonomy places the organism in Eukaryota, Metazoa, Chordata, Mammalia, Rodentia, Muridae.
CGCGCCGAGGCAGAGGCGGCGCACUGGCGGCUUCCCUCUGAGCGCGCCUCCUGGGGGUGCGGGACUAGGAACACCUCCUUCCUUGUCCUUAGGUGUGCAGAGCUCCGAGUUACCACGGUGCGGCUUCGGGCGGGGUGGGGGGAGGCGGAGGGAGUGGGUUGUGGAUCGGGGUUCCAAGAAGCGGGAAUUUGGAGUCCUGGGUUUCCUAGCUGUCUCUCUGAUGUCCCUCGAGCCGGGUCGAACCAGCUGCCCGAGCCCGAAGCCGUCCCAGCUCUCCAUUUACAGGCGCCUCGUGGGCUCUUUUCCAUUGGCUUGGAAAGCGCGUUCAAGAAUCAUCGUUCAAUGGACUUGACCCACCGGUUGAGUAAAUGAGAUUCCAAACGCUUCCUGAUCUGGGAGGAUCCCAAGAAGAUCCCAGGGGGAGGAUCCCAGCCGGUCUCGGAGGUCAAGUAUGACUGGCGGAUCGUUGGACGCUAGCUUUCCAGGGCCCCACAGGCGAGCCAGCGCAUGAAGCCUUGGAAAAUCCUGCUUUCGAGUUCAAAGCAAUUUGAUACAAACACCUAACUACCACCAUCACUACUGCUGCCGCCCGCUGCCAGGGCCCCAAUCUGAACUCCCUGCGGACUUGCCACAAUAAGUCUAGCAGAGCUGUCCGGUAAGCAUUUGUUAAACCUGUGACUCGAUGAAUAUAUGCGCGAUGAGGACCUAGGGCUCUGAAGAUUGGCCGGUGUGUACGCAUCAGCUCCCGGGCGAGCCAAGGCUAGAGAAGCAGCGAAUCAGAAGGGUAACCCAUCUCCCGCACCCGAAGUCGGAAGAGGAUGGAAAAAGAGCAGCAGCCCGUCCACCGGGUGCACGAUGGGCACCGUCUGCAUUACGGGGAAGGCAGGUGUGGCCAGCUCCCAGCGCGCGGUGCGCACCAGCUCGACAGCGAGCAGUUGCAGCACCGCCUGCGCUAGCUCCUGCCCCAGGCAGCUGCGCGCGCCGCCGCCGAACGGGAUGUAAUGAAAGCGGCCACCGGAGCCCCGCGCGUCUCCACUCUCCACGCCAAAGCGCUCCGGAUCGAAGCCCUCGGGCGGGCUACGGUACACUGCGGCUGUCUCAUGCGUGUCUCGGAUGCUAUACAUCACGCUCCAGCCCUUGGGGAUCUGGUAACCCUGCGAAGUGAGGGGGCCCGUGUUGAUCGCUAAGCACAGGGAAAUGGCUGGAGCCUACCCCGCCCCGCGCGCCUCACCCCAGGAGCGCCAAAUAAACCUCCAGGGGCCUGUGAUUAAUCCUGAAGCCAGAAGAUUGCAGAAUCUCCUUGGCGCCUUCACUGGUGAGCUGUAAGUUCUUGGACUGCUUCCUCCCAGCCCCCCAUUUCUUAGUUGGGAAAAGUAAGAAUAAAAAAAAUGGGCACGUUGUUGAGGGAAUUUUAAGAGGUUGGCACGCAUUAGUAGUACCCAUGAGAUCGAAAAUUACUUAUGAGUUUGUUGGCUUUCUGUUCCUGUUUUCUUCUAACACAGUAGACUAACAUUGUAAGAAUGUAGCUACCAGCUGUCUGAGCUGAAACAGCCCAGACAAAUGACUGAGAAUCGCCAUACCUCUGGGACAGUUCAAUUAUAAAAAUCUUUGCAUUUAACUCAAGACUUUCCCACCUUCUCGCUCACCUCUGGACUCUUAUACUACCUUAUGGUUACUACUUUAAGGGGAUGCACACCGUCCUUGCCCACCCCCACCCUCAGUCCUUUUAACCAUCCUCCCUCCUCCAUUACCCCCUGCUGGGUGUGGCAAACUCGGGGGGGGGGCAUUCCAGCUAGGAUGGGCUCCUGCCACUGACCUACAUUCCCCACCCCACCCUCCACCCCCGCCUGCACUGCUUGUUGCCUCUUCAAUUCCUGAACUAUAAUGCCACCUGUCCCUCAAAAGAUUGCCAUUUCAUCACUACUCAAGCUCUCACUAGGGAUAUUCUCUCCUCGCUCUCAGUCUCCCCAUCUGCAGGACAGAGGGUAGUGAGUGGGACCUUCCCUGUGCGCCCAUCUACUGCCCUGGAAGCUGGCUGGGA